CCUACGGGGGGCUGCAGUGGGGAAUAUUGGGCAAUGGGGGAAACCCUGACCCAGCAACGCCGCGUGAAGGAAGAAGGUUUUCGGAUUGUAAACUUCUGUCCUUGGUGAAGAGAAGAAGACGGUAGCCAAGGAGGAAGCCCCGGCUAACUACGUGCCAGCAGCCGCGGUAAUACGUAGGGGGCAAGCGUUGUCCGGAAUGAUUGGGCGUAAAGGGCGCGUAGGCGGCUUUAUAAGUCUGGAGUGAAAGUCCUCUUUUCAAGGGAGGAAUUGCUUUGGAAACUAUAGAGCUUGAGUGCAGGAGAGGUUAUCGGAAUUCCCGGUGUAGCGGUGAAAUGCGUAGAUAUCGGGAGGAACAUCGGUGGCGAAGGCGGGUAACUGGACUGCAACUGACGCUGAGGCGCGAAAGUGUGGGGAGCAAACAGGAUUAGAUACCCCAGUAGUC
RNAcentral lists this ribosomal RNA (442 nucleotides) under uncultured bacterium. RNAcentral's name for it is "bacterial SSU rRNA". It matches the Rfam family "Bacterial small subunit ribosomal RNA", at positions 338 to 795 of the family's 1533-position model. The record is from RNAcentral.